GAUGAACGCUGGCGGCGUGCUUAACACAUGCAAGUCGAACGGUGAAGGCGGAGCUUGCUCUGCUGGAUCAGUGGCGAACGGGUGAGUAACACGUGAGCAAUCUGCCCCUGACUCUGGGAUAAGCGCUGGAAACGGCGUCUAAUACUGGAUACGAGCUGCGAAGGCAUCUUCAGCAGCUGGAAAGAACUUCGGUCAGGGAUGAGCUCGCGGCCUAUCAGCUUGUUGGUGAGGUAACGGCUCACCAAGGCGUCGACGGGUAGCCGGCCUGAGAGGGUGACCGGCCACACUGGGCCUGAGACACGGCCCAGACUCCUACGGGAGGCAGCAGUGGGGAAUAUUGCACAAUGGGCGAAAGCCUGAUGCAGCAACGCCGCGUGAGGGACGACGGCCUUCGGGUUGUAAACCUCUUUUAGCAGGGAAGAAGCGAAAGUGACGGUACCUGCAGAAAAAGCGCCGGCUAACUACGUG
This 468-nucleotide ribosomal RNA is filed under the name uncultured bacterium. Its description in RNAcentral is "partial 16S ribosomal RNA". It matches the Rfam family "Bacterial small subunit ribosomal RNA", at positions 28 to 507 of the family's 1533-position model. The record is from RNAcentral.